UUUUUUUAAGAGUUUGAUCCUGGCUCAGGAUGAACGUUGGUGGCGUGCCUGAGAUAUGCAAGUCGAAUGCACCUGUCGCAAGGCAGGUAAAUGGCGGACGGCUGAGUAACACGUAGGAACCAACCCCAAAAUAAGGGAUAGCCCCGCGAAAGCGGGGAUAAUACCUUAUAGUCCCCGCUUUUUGUGGGGUAAAGCGUUUAACGGCGCGUUUUGGGACGGUCCUGCGGCCUAUCAGGUAGUUGGUGGGGUAAUAGCCUACCAAGCCUAUGACAGGUAGCUGGCCCGAGAGGGUGUUCAGCCAGAGGGGUACUGAGAUACGGACCCCAUUUCUACGGAAAGCAGCAAUCAGGAAUAGUCGGCAAUGGGCGAAAGCCUGACCGCGCAACGCCGCGUGUAGGAAUAAGCUCUAACGAGUGUAAACUACUGUUGUAAGGGAAGAAUCCCGAUGUUACAUCGGGGUGACUGUACCUUAUAAGAAAGGGGCCGCUAACUGCGUGCCAGAAGCGUCGGUAACACGUGGGCCCCAAACGUUAUCCGGUUUUAUUGGGCGUAAAGGGUCGUGUAGGCUUUCUUAUAAGUCUUGUCUUAAAUACUAUGGCUUAACCAUAGGAAAGGGCAGGAAACUAUAAGAAUUGAAUUUUCUUUAGGGAAACUGGAACUUAGGGAGGAGUAGUGAAAUGCGUUGAUACCCUAGGGAACACCGGUGGCGAAGGCGAGUUUCUAAAAGAUAAUUGACGCUGAGACACGAAAGCU
This 753-nucleotide ribosomal RNA is filed under the name Candidatus Roizmanbacteria bacterium RIFCSPHIGHO2_01_FULL_35_10. RNAcentral's name for it is "bacterial SSU rRNA". It matches the Rfam family "Bacterial small subunit ribosomal RNA", at positions 1 to 761 of the family's 1533-position model. Lineage: Bacteria; Candidatus Roizmaniibacteriota. The record is from RNAcentral.